RNAcentral lists this unclassified non-coding RNA (849 nucleotides) under Hevea brasiliensis (rubber tree). The record is from RNAcentral. Lineage: Eukaryota; Viridiplantae; Streptophyta; Magnoliopsida; Malpighiales; Euphorbiaceae.
AGUUUGAGAUGAAAGAUUUGGGUGACAUGAUAAAUGCUGUACGAAAAUUUAAUGAGCAGGAUUUUGAUGUCAAGAAAGAGUUAUAUUCACGCGAUGCGAGCAGAAGAGUGAGAUUCAACAGCAGCCAUGAUCUUUUUCAAUCUCAAACAGCUGACUGGAGAGACACAUUUUCUGUUUCCAUGCUUAUUGACCCGGAGGAGUUGCCUGCCGUAUGCAGAGAUGAAACUGUUGAGUUCAUAGAUCAAAUUGGAAAAAUUGGUGACGCACUCUUCGAAUUACUGUCAGAAGCUCUUGGUCUGAAACCUGACCACCUGAAAUCUAUAGAGUGUAACAAGGGUCGAACUCUUGUAUGUCACUACUAUCCAGCAUGUCCUGAACCAGAAUUGGCCAUGGGAGUAACCAAGCAUACUGAUAACACAUUCCUGACAGUUCUUGUAGAAGAUGAGACAGGUGGUCUUCAAGUGCUUCACGAUAAUCAAUGGGUUGGUGUUCAACCUAUUCCAGGAGGCUUAGUAGCAAACAUUGGUGAUCUUCUCCAAAUUGUAUCAAAUGACAAGUUCAAGAGCAAUGUUCACAGAGUGGUUCCUAGCCGUGUUCCAAGAAUUUCAGUGAUAGGAUUUUUUGCAGGACGUGUUGCUCCACCAGCAAGGCUCUAUGGUCCAAUCAAAGAAUUGCUGUCGGAAGAAAAUCCACCCAAAUGUAAAGAGGUCCUAGUCAGUGAAUAUGUUGCAAGGUUCUUCAAUAAAAAAACUCCAAGAUAAGCCCAGCCUUGAAGAUUAUAGACUCUGAAGCUACCGAUAAUGGUAGGGUUAAAAACUCUACAGUGACACCAAGAACGCCCUGCAUUCG